AGUCGUACGCAAGUUUUUAACUUGAGUGGCGGACGGGUGAGUAACACGUAAGAAUUUACCUUUAGGAGGGGGACAACAGCUGGAAACGGCUGCUAAUACCCCAUAUGCUUUCGAGUGAAAUGGAAUUUUCCGCCUAGAGAGAAGCUUGCGGCUGAUUAGCUUGUUGGUGGGGUAAUGGCCCACCAAGGCGACGAUCAGUAUCUGGUUUGAGAGGACGAUCAGACACACUGGAACUGAGACACGGUCCAGACUCCUACGGGAGGCAGCAGUGGGGAAUUUUCCGCAAUGGGCGAAAGCCUGACGGAGCAAUACCGCGUGAGGGAUGACGGCCUAUGGGUUGUAAACCUCUUUUUUCAGGGAGGAAUCAAUGACGUGUACCUGAAGAAUAAGCAUCGGCUAACUCCGUGCCAGCAGCCGCGGUAAGACGGAGGAUGCAAGUGUUAUCCGGAAUCACUGGGCGUAAAGCGUCUGUAGGUGGUUUAAUAAGUCAACUGUUAAAUCUUGAGGCUCAACUUCAAAAUCGCAGUCGAAACUAUUAGACUAGAGUAUAGUAGGGGUAAAGGGAAUUUCCAGUGGAGCGGUGAAAUGCGUAGAGAUUGGAAAGAACACCGAUGGCGAAGGCACUUUACUGGGCUAUUACUGACACUCAGAGACGAAAGCUAGGGUAGCAAAUGGGAUUAGAUACCCCAGUAGUCCUAGCCGUAAACAAUGGAUACUAGAUGUUGAACAGAUCGACCUGUGCAGUAUUAAAGCUAACGCGUUAAGUAUCCCGCCUGGGAAGUAUGCACGCAAGUGUGAAACUCAAAGGAAUUGACGGGGGCCCGCACAGGCGGUGGAGCAUGUGGUUUAAUUCGAUGCAACGCGAAGAA
RNAcentral lists this ribosomal RNA (869 nucleotides) under uncultured cyanobacterium. RNAcentral describes it as "bacterial SSU rRNA". It matches the Rfam family "Bacterial small subunit ribosomal RNA", at positions 60 to 968 of the family's 1533-position model. Lineage: Bacteria; Bacillati; Cyanobacteriota. The record is from RNAcentral.